Molecule: ribosomal RNA, 253 nt
Filed under: uncultured bacterium
Lineage: Bacteria
Description: partial 16S ribosomal RNA
Rfam family: Bacterial small subunit ribosomal RNA
Source: RNAcentral
UACGGAGGGUGCAAGCGUUGUUCGGAUUUACUGGGCGUAAAGCGCGCGCAGGUGGAUGAGCAAGUCGGAAGUGAAAUCUUGAGGCUCAACCUCGAGGCAGCUCCCGAAACUGUUCGUCUAGGGACUGGUAGAGGCUGGUAGAAUUCCCGGUGUAGCGGUGGAAUGCGUAGAGAUCGGGAAGAAUACCCGUGGCGAAGGCGGCCAGCUGGGCCAGGUCCGACACUGAGGCGCGAAAGCGUGGGGAGCAAACAGG